AUUAGCUCAGUUGAUUAGAGCGUGGUGUUAAUAACACCAGGGUUGUGGGUUUGAUCCCUGUAU
Molecule: transfer RNA, 63 nt
Filed under: Manacus vitellinus (golden-collared manakin)
Lineage: Eukaryota; Metazoa; Chordata; Aves; Passeriformes; Pipridae
Rfam family: tRNA
About the family: Transfer RNA (tRNA) molecules are approximately 80 nucleotides in length.
Source: Rfam by way of RNAcentral